UGGACUCCAAAGGUGAGUUCUUGUGAUUUUAAGUUAGGUUUUGGGUUUUUGCUUCUAGUUGAAGCAUCUAGAGAUCUCUAUAGUGGAUUUUCUCCAUUUUCUUCAUGUUGAGGACCUAAAAUGGAGAAGAUGAUGUUGUAUAGGGACCCAAAUUUGGGGUUUUGUAAAAAUAAGGUCGAAGCUUGGGAUUGAUCUCAUUCUAACCUAAUUGGUAGGUCAACGAACGCAUCGGUGCGCUUGGUUCGGCGA
RNAcentral lists this long non-coding RNA (249 nucleotides) under Ananas comosus (pineapple). RNAcentral's name for it is "long non-coding RNA (ACOM_LNC035172)". The record is from RNAcentral. Lineage: Eukaryota; Viridiplantae; Streptophyta; Magnoliopsida; Poales; Bromeliaceae.